AGUGAACGCUGGCGGUAGGCCUAACACAUGCAAGUCGAACGGCAGCACAGGAGAUCUUGCUCUCUAGGUGGCGAGUGGCGGACGGGUGAGGCAUACAUCGGAAUCUGCCCAGUCGUGGGGGAUAACGUAGGGAAACUUACCCUAAUACCGCAUACGACUUUCGGGUGAAAGAGGGGGAUCGCAAGACCUUUCGCGAUUGGAUGAGCCGAUGUCGGAUUAGCUAGUUAGCGGGGUAAUGGCCCACCAAGGCGACGAUCCGUAGCUGGUCUGAGAGGAUGAUCAGCCAGACUGGAACUGAGACACGGCCCAGACUCCUACGGGAGGCAGCAGUGGGGAAUAUUGGACAAUGGGCGCAAGCCUGAUCCAGCCAUACCGCGUGGGUGAAGAGGGCCUUCGGGUUGUAAAGCCCUUUUGUUGGGAAAGAAAUCUUUCAGGCUAAUACCCUGGGAGGAUGACGGUACCCAAAGAAUAAGCACCGGCUAACUUCGUG
Molecule: ribosomal RNA, 490 nt
Filed under: uncultured bacterium
Lineage: Bacteria
Description: partial 16S ribosomal RNA
Rfam family: Bacterial small subunit ribosomal RNA
Source: RNAcentral